GGCGAACGCUGGCGGCGUGCUUAACACAUGCAAGUCGAACGGAAAGGCCCUGCUUUUGUGGGGUGCUCGAGUGGCGAACGGGUGAGUAACACGUGAGUAACCUGCCCUUGACUUUGGGAUAACUUCAGGAAACUGGGGCUAAUACCGGAUCGGAGCUCCUGCUGCAUGGUGGGGGUUGGAAAGUUUCGGCGGUUGGGGAUGGACUCGCGGCUUAUCAGCUUGUUGGUGGGGUAGUGGCUUACCAAGGCUUUGACGGGUAGCCGGCCUGAGAGGGUGACCGGCCACAUUGGGACGGAGGUACGGCCCAGACUCCUACGGGCGGCAGGAGUGGGGAAUAUUGCACAAUGGGCGGAAGCCUGAUGCAGCAACGCCGCGUGCGUGAUGACGGCCUUCGGGUUGUAAACCGCUUUCGCCUGUGACGAAGCGUGAGUGACGGUAAUGGGUAAAGAAGCACCGGCUAACUACGUG
RNAcentral lists this ribosomal RNA (468 nucleotides) under uncultured bacterium. Its description in RNAcentral is "partial 16S ribosomal RNA". It matches the Rfam family "Bacterial small subunit ribosomal RNA", at positions 28 to 507 of the family's 1533-position model. The record is from RNAcentral.